CUACGGGACGCUGCAGUGAGGAAUAUUGGUCAAUGGGCGCGAGCCUGAACCAGCCAUCCCGCGUGCAGGAUGACGGCCCUAUGGGUUGUAAACUGCUUUUCUAUGCCAAGAAACCUGAUUACGUGUAAUCAGUUGCCGGUAGCAUAGGAAUAAGCAUCGGCUAACUCCGGGCCAGCAGCCGCGGUAAUACGGAGGAUGCAAGCGUUAUCCGGAUUCAUUGGGUUUAAAGGGUGCGCAGGUGGGCUUGUAAGUCAGUGGUGAAAUGCUGCCGCUUAACGGUAGAACUGCCAUUGAUACUGCGAGUCUUGAGUAUGGUUGAGGUAGGCGGAAUGUGUUGUGUAGCGGUGAAAUGCAUAGAUAUGACACAGAACGCCAAUUGCGAAGGCAGCUUACUAAGCCAUUACUGACGCUGAGGCACGAAAGCGUGGGGAGCGAACAGGAUUAGAUACCCUAGUAGUC
This 459-nucleotide ribosomal RNA is filed under the name uncultured bacterium. RNAcentral describes it as "partial 16S ribosomal RNA". It matches the Rfam family "Bacterial small subunit ribosomal RNA", at positions 339 to 795 of the family's 1533-position model. The record is from RNAcentral.